AAAGGAAUUGACGGGGGCCCGCACAAGCGGAGGAGCAUGUGGCUUAAUUCGAUGCAACGCGAAGAACCUUACCAGGGCUUGACAUGCAGCUGCACAUCCGCCGAAAAGUGGAUUCCUUCGAGGGUGCUGCACAGGUGCUGCAUGGCUGUCGUCAGUUCGUGCCGUGAGGUGUUGGGUUAAGUCCCGCAACGAACGCAACCCCUGUGGCUAGUUGCUCACCAUGGUGAUGAAUCAUGGCGCACUCUAGUCAGACUGCCCGUGAUAAGCGGGAGGAAGGUGGGGAUGACGUCAAGUCAGUAUGGCCCUUACGCCCUGGGCUGCACACGUGCUACAAUGGUCGGUACAGAGGGAAGCGAAACCGCGAGGCGAAGCCAAUCCCAGAAAACCGGCCCCAGUUCGGAUUGAAGUCUGAAACUCGACUUCAUGAAGUUGGAUUCGCUAGUAAUGGCGCAUCAGCUACGGCGCCGUGAAUACGUUCCCGGGCCUUGUACACACCGCCCGU
Molecule: ribosomal RNA, 502 nt
Filed under: uncultured bacterium
Lineage: Bacteria
Description: bacterial SSU rRNA
Rfam family: Bacterial small subunit ribosomal RNA
Source: RNAcentral